UAAAGGAGGCGCUGACAGGAGAGUUGUGGUUCCAACCUUAUUACUUCGCUAUUACUAUUCAUUAAGAAGGGGCACUGAGAGCAUGAAACGCAGUCAGCUUGCCCUGUACAAUGUAUAACUUAAUAGGAGAGCAGACUUCGGGAGCUAUCCGCUAACGAGAGAGUUUGCAGAAUCGUUCGUUAAAGCUGAUAUCAGGAAAGGACAGUUCAGAUGAGGGAUCCCAACGCCUGGAGGGGGGACAGAAAAGCUCGGAAGUAAUCGCCGAUGCCUUAUCUGCAUUGACAAGGCCUGUGGUGAUAGAAAAGAGAAGAAAAAAAGGUAAG
Long non-coding RNA from Spea bombifrons (plains spadefoot toad), 323 nucleotides. RefSeq lists it as uncharacterized. NCBI's taxonomy places the organism in Eukaryota, Metazoa, Chordata, Amphibia, Anura, Pelobatidae. The transcript has 3 exons. The record is from RefSeq and is a predicted model, not a curated record.